This 406-nucleotide ribosomal RNA is filed under the name uncultured bacterium. Its description in RNAcentral is "partial 16S ribosomal RNA". It matches the Rfam family "Bacterial small subunit ribosomal RNA", at positions 30 to 526 of the family's 1533-position model. The record is from RNAcentral.
AUUGAACGCUGGCGGCAGGCCUAACACAUGCAAGUCGAGCGCGCGGCGGACGGGUGAGUAAUAUCUGGGAAACUGCCCGAUGGAGGGGGACAACUACUGGAAACGGUAGCUAAUACCGCAUACCAUCAGAUGUGCCCCGAUGGGAUUAGCUCGUAGGUGGGGUAAUGGCUCACCUAGGCGACGAUCCCUAGCUGGUCUGAGAGGAUGACCAGCAACACUGGAACUGAGACACGGUCCAGAAUCCGACGGGAGGCAGCAGUGGGGAAUAUUGCACAAUGGGCGCAAGCCUGAUGCAGCCAUGCCGCGUGUAUGAAGAAGGCCUUCGGGUUGGAAAGUACUUUCAGCGAGGAGGCGGUACUCGAAGAAGAAGCACCGGCUAACUACGUGCCAGCAGCCGCGGUAAUAC